Molecule: long non-coding RNA, 403 nt
Filed under: Amborella trichopoda
Lineage: Eukaryota; Viridiplantae; Streptophyta; Magnoliopsida; Amborellales; Amborellaceae
Description: long non-coding RNA (ATRI_LNC005469)
Source: RNAcentral
CAGGCCUCAGGUCCACUAGGGUGUUGUUUAUAUGCUCGACCAAGUCUUUUGAUUUGACUCGCCUAGAUGAUUGAAGUGAGACUUGACAACUUUCUUAAAAAUUGAUUAUAUGGUACUUAAUAAAGUGGUGAGGUUUGUACAUGGUGCCCAUCUUGUAUAAUACAAGUGAGGCACACAUUUAAAUUUUGUUGGAAGAUGUGGUUUCGCUAUCAUAAACCUUAUAAUGGCUUGAAAAUAUAUGUUUAACACUAAUUAUAAAAGUUAAAAUUUCAAAAAUAGGUGCACGUCAAGCGGAUAUGUAAACACAUAAAAAUGUUGAAAAUAAAUUACAAAUUGCACCAUUUUUGGAACAUUAUUUUUUUUUUCUUUAUAUUUCUUCGAUAUGAUUAAUUGAAAGAUUUCU